CCUACGGGAGGCAGCAGUGAGGAAUAUUGGUCAAUGGGCGUAAGCCUGAACCAGCCAAGUCGCGUGAGGGAUGAAGGUUCUAUGGAUCGUAAACCUCUUUUAUAAGGGAAUAAAGUGUGGGACGUGUCCUGUUUUGUAUGUACCUUAUGAAUAAGGAUCGGCUAACUCCGUGCCAGCAGCCGCGGUAAUACGGAGGAUGCGAGCGUUAUCCGGAUUUAUUGGGUUUAAAGGGUGCGUAGGCGGGAUGCCAAGUCAGCGGUAAAAAUGCGGUGCUCAACGCCGUCGAGCCGUUGAAACUGGCGUUCUUGAGUGGGCGAGAAGUAUUCGGAAUGCGUGGUGUAGCGGUGAAAUGCAUAGAUAUCACGCAGAACUCCGAUUGCGAAGGCAGCAUACCGGCGCCCUACUGACGCUGAGGCACGAAAGCGUGGGUAUCGAACAGGAUUAGAUACCCCAGUAGUC
This 459-nucleotide ribosomal RNA is filed under the name uncultured bacterium. RNAcentral describes it as "partial 16S ribosomal RNA". It matches the Rfam family "Bacterial small subunit ribosomal RNA", at positions 338 to 795 of the family's 1533-position model. The record is from RNAcentral.